Molecule: ribosomal RNA, 245 nt
Filed under: uncultured Ktedonobacter sp.
Lineage: Bacteria; Bacillati; Chloroflexota; Ktedonobacteria; Ktedonobacterales; Ktedonobacteraceae
Description: partial 16S ribosomal RNA
Rfam family: Bacterial small subunit ribosomal RNA
Source: RNAcentral
UACGUAGGAGGCGAGCGUUGUCCGGAGUACUGGGCGUAAAGCGCACGCAGGCGGUCCAAACAGUCUGCAGGGACAGGGCACAGCUUAACUGUGUCAGGCCUGUGGAUACUCUUGGACUUGAGGGCUUCAGAGGGAUGGGGAAUUCCGGGUGGAGUGGUGAAAUGCGUAGAGAUCCGGAAGAACACCAAAGGCGAAGGCACCAUCCUGGGAAGUACCUGACGCUCGGGUGCGAAGGCUAGGGGAGC